Molecule: ribosomal RNA, 450 nt
Filed under: uncultured Alphaproteobacteria bacterium
Lineage: Bacteria; Pseudomonadati; Pseudomonadota; Alphaproteobacteria
Description: bacterial SSU rRNA
Rfam family: Bacterial small subunit ribosomal RNA
Source: RNAcentral
UUAAUUCGAAGCAACGCGCAGAACCUUACCAGCGUUUGACAUCCUGAUCGCGGAUUAGAGAGAUCUUUUCCUUCAGUUCGGCUGGAUCAGUGACAGGUGCUGCAUGGCUGUCGUCAGCUCGUGUCGUGAGAUGUUGGGUUAAGUCCCGCAACGAGCGCAACCCUCAUCCCUAGUUGCCAUCAUUCAGUUGGGCACUCUAAGGAAACUGCCGGUGAUAAGCCGGAGGAAGGUGGGGAUGACGUCAAGUCCUCAUGGCCCUUACGCGCUGGGCUACACACGUGCUACAAUGGCGGUGACAGUGGGCAGCAACCUCGCGAGAGGUAGCUAAUCUCCAAAAGCCGUCUCAGUUCGGAUUGUUCUCUGCAACUCGAGAGCAUGAAGGCGGAAUCGCUAGUAAUCGCGGAUCAGCAUGCCGCGGUGAAUACGUUCCCAGGCCUUGUACACACCGCC